AUGUCUGCCAUACGGAGGCUGCUGGCAGCAAAGGGAGAUGAACAAGCCAAGGUUGCCCGGCCUGCACGCUGGCCCAGGGCUGCUGCUGUGUCUUGCCAUCAACCCUCCCGACACCCAGCAUGCCUGCCUCGUCCAGAAGCACUCCUACGUCAGGCCUCUGAGGGGGAGCGCUUCAUGCCACUUUAUCAAAAGGGGAAACCAUCAAAGCAGAAAGGCCAAUGCCACACUAGACAGCCAGGAGCCCAGUAGAACAAGUGGCCCCGAAAGGCGCUUUGGGGACCACACCCCGCUACUGACCCCAGCACAGUCUGGUUCCCAGGGCUUCAGGAUCCUCCUGGGGACCUCUCAGCAUGA
RNAcentral lists this long non-coding RNA (354 nucleotides) under Pongo abelii (Sumatran orangutan). Its description in RNAcentral is "lincRNA". The record is from RNAcentral. Lineage: Eukaryota; Metazoa; Chordata; Mammalia; Primates; Hominidae.